Molecule: ribosomal RNA, 207 nt
Filed under: uncultured bacterium
Lineage: Bacteria
Description: partial 16S ribosomal RNA
Rfam family: Bacterial small subunit ribosomal RNA
Source: RNAcentral
AACGAACGCUGGCGGCAGGCCUAACACAUGCAAGUCGAACGCCCUAGCAAUAGGGAGUGGCAGACGGGUGAGUAACGCGUGGGAACGUACCCUUCGGUUCGGAAUAACCCACGGGAAACUUAGGACUAAUACCGGAUACGUGCGAGAGCAGAAAGAUUUAUCGCCGAAGGAUCGGCCCGCGUCCGAUUAGCUAGUUGGUGAGGUAAU